Molecule: ribosomal RNA, 474 nt
Filed under: Selenomonas sp. oral taxon E83
Lineage: Bacteria; Bacillati; Bacillota; Negativicutes; Selenomonadales; Selenomonadaceae
Description: bacterial SSU rRNA
Rfam family: Bacterial small subunit ribosomal RNA
Source: RNAcentral
GACGAACGCUGGCGGCGUGCUUAACACAUGCAAGUCGAACGGAGCGAAUGAAAGCUUGCUUUUAUGAGCUUAGUGGCAAACGGGGUGAGUAACACGUAGACAACCUGCCGAUAGGAUGGGGGACAACAUUCCGAAAGGAAUGCUAAUACCGAAUGGCGUGUAGGGGAGGCAUCUCCCGUACAUGAAAGAUGGCCUCUGAAUAUGCUAUCACCUAUCGAUGGGUCUGCGUCUGAUUAGCUAGUAGGUAAGGUAACGGCUUACCUAGGCGACGAUCAGUAGCCGGUCUGAGAGGAUGAACGGCCACAUUGGGACUGAGACACGGCCCAGACUUCCUACGGGAGGCAGCAGUGGGGAAUCUUCCGCAAUGGGCGCAAACUGACGGAGCAACGCCGCGUGAGUGAAGAAGGUCUUCGGAUCGUAAAGCUCUGUUGAAGGGGACGAACGAUCGAGGGGCGAACAGGCUCUCGGUAUGAC